AUGAAAUGCAAGGACGCUCUUUUUAGAGGUCCGACUCUUUCAUUUUCCUUACACUGUGAACCAAUUUUUUUACACCAUUUUUUAAACGCAUGAGUUUAGGAAUGUCACAAGUCUCUUAAUUGAGCAUAAAAUUGUAA
RNAcentral lists this unclassified non-coding RNA (137 nucleotides) under uncultured Sporidiobolales. RNAcentral's name for it is "sequence contains ITS1". The record is from RNAcentral. Lineage: Eukaryota; Fungi; Basidiomycota; Microbotryomycetes; Sporidiobolales.